RNAcentral lists this ribosomal RNA (433 nucleotides) under uncultured bacterium. RNAcentral describes it as "partial 16S ribosomal RNA". It matches the Rfam family "Bacterial small subunit ribosomal RNA", at positions 29 to 507 of the family's 1533-position model. The record is from RNAcentral.
AACGAACGCUGGCGGCAUGCCUAACACAUGCAAGUCGAACGAGACCUUCGGGUCUAGUGGCGCACGGGUGCGUAACGCGUGGGAACCUGCCCUUAGGUUCGGAAUAACUCCCCGAAAGGGGUGCUAAUACCGGAUAAUGUCUUCGGACCAAAGAUUUAUCGCCUUUGGAUGGGCCCGCGUUGGAUUAGCUAGUUGGUAGGGUAAAAGCCUACCGAGGCGACGAUCCAUAGCUGGUCUGAGAGGAUGAUCAGCCACACUGGGACUGAGACACGGCCCAGACUCGUACGGGAGGCAGCAGUGGGGAAUAUUGGACAAUGGGCGAAAGCCUGAUCCAGCAAUGCCGCGUGAGUGAUGAAGGCCUUAGGGUUGUAAAGCUCUUUUACCCGGGAUGAUAAUGACAGUACCGGGAGAAUAAGCUCCGGCUAACUCCGUG